AUGGGUGGAUUAGUGGCGAACGGGUGAGUAACACGUGAGUAACCUGCCCUUGACUCUGGGAUAAGCCUGGGAAACUGGGUCUAAUACCGGAUAGGAACGUCCACCGCAGGUGGUUGUUGGAAAGAUUUAUCGGUCAUGGAUGGACUCGCGGCCUAUCAGCUUGUUGGUGAGGUAAUGGCUCACCAAGGCGACGACGGGUAGCCGGCCUGAGAGGGUGACCGGCCACACUGGGACUGAGACACGGCCCAGACUCCUACGGGAGGCAGCAGUGGGGAAUAUUGCACAAUGGGCGAAAGCCUGAUGCAGCGACGCCGCGUGAGGGAUGACGGCCUUCGGGUUGUAAACCUCUUUCAGUAGGGAAGAAGCGAAAGUGACGGUACCUGCAGAAGAAGCACCGGCUAACUACGUGCCAGCAGCCGCGGUAAUACGUAGGGUGCGAGCGUUAUCCGGAAUUAUUGGGCGUAAAGAGCUCGUAGGCGGUUUGUCGCGUCUGUCGUGAAAGUCCGGGGCUUAACCCCGGAUCUGCGGUGGGUACGGGCAGACUAGAGUGCAGUAGGGGAGACUGGAAUUCCUGGUGUAGCGGUGGAAUGCGCAGAUAUCAGGAGGAACACCGAUGGCGAAGGCAGGUCUCUGGGCUGUAACUGACGCUGAGGAGCGAAAGCAUGGGGAGCGAACAGGAUUAGAUACCCUGGUAGUCCAUGCCGUAAACGUUGGGCACUAGGUGUGGGGACCAUUCCACGGUUUCCGCGCCGCAGCUACGCAUAAGUGCCCCGCCCGGGGAGUACGGCCGCAAGGCUAAACUCAAGGAAUUGACGGGGCCCGCA
Molecule: ribosomal RNA, 824 nt
Filed under: Micrococcus sp. A8(2012)
Lineage: Bacteria; Bacillati; Actinomycetota; Actinomycetes; Micrococcales; Micrococcaceae
Description: bacterial SSU rRNA
Rfam family: Bacterial small subunit ribosomal RNA
Source: RNAcentral